GUGGUGGUAAUUUAGUGGUAAAAUUCUUGCCUUCCAAGCAGGAGACCCAGGCUCAAUUCCCAGCCAAUACA
Molecule: transfer RNA, 71 nt
Filed under: Loxodonta africana (African savanna elephant)
Lineage: Eukaryota; Metazoa; Chordata; Mammalia; Proboscidea; Elephantidae
Rfam family: tRNA
About the family: Transfer RNA (tRNA) molecules are approximately 80 nucleotides in length. Their secondary structure includes four short double-helical elements and three loops (D, anti-codon, and T loops). Further hydrogen bonds mediate the characteristic L-shaped molecular structure. tRNAs have two regions of fundamental functional importance: the anti-codon, which is responsible for specific mRNA codon recognition, and the 3' end, to which the tRNAs corresponding amino acid is attached (by aminoacyl-tRNA synthetases). tRNAs cope with the degeneracy of the genetic code in two manners: having more than one tRNA (with a specific anti-codon) for a particular amino acid; and 'wobble' base-pairing, i.e. permitting non-standard base-pairing at the 3rd anti-codon position.
Source: Rfam by way of RNAcentral